Molecule: non-coding RNA, 753 nt
Organism: Oryctolagus cuniculus (rabbit)
Lineage: Eukaryota; Metazoa; Chordata; Mammalia; Lagomorpha; Leporidae
Source: RefSeq, a predicted model, not a curated record
UGCUGUCCUGUGCUCCUGAUCCACGAGGAGCCGGCUGGGCGGGAAGAGGAUGGGAUGAGAGCCCCGUCCAGUCCAGCAGGGAGGCGUGGAAGUGCUCAGCUCUUCCUGGGAACCCUGGUCCUUGGAGCCCCAGAACUGGGGAGGGGGCGGUCAUGGGCAACGUCCUCACGGACAGAGUGUCCAGAGAUGCAGCCACCACCCACGUGACCCGGGUUCUCAUCCGGCUCUUGAUCCCCACAUUGCUCGUUAUCUCAGAAAUGUAAACAGCCACUGGCAGGCAGGCCGAGAGUCUGGGCCUGGCCUGCUGGAGCCACUCUCUGAGGGUCAGAGUUCACGAGGCAUGGCCAGGACUUCAGUGCGUUUAAGAGAGAAAGAAGGGAGAAGGAAGGCGUGCUUCCUGCGAUGUGUGCUGCUCCUGGCCCUGUGGGCAGGUGUUUGCAGACUGGAAACCUCUGGCUCAGAUCGUCACGUCAGCGCUGCACCCAGAAGCGGCUCGCAGAUAACACCGCGGCCUCCCCUGCAGUGCUGCAGCCAUGCGUCUCCCGGGAGCAGUGUUCUCCAGGAACGGGGACCGGCAGGACGCCCCUCGCGAGUGUGCUCAGGAGGCAGUGUCCUGCCUGCACUCAGGAUGAAGCUGGACUUGGCUCUUUCCGGCACUCUCAUCAGCCUGGCUGUGCUGGCGCUGCUGCCUCCUGGAUGUGCCCAGCAGGCUGCGGAUGAUGCCUGCUCGGUGCAGAUCCUCGUCCCAGGCCU